RNAcentral lists this long non-coding RNA (2058 nucleotides) under Canis lupus familiaris (dog). RNAcentral describes it as "lncRNA (ENSCAFG00000051186.1)". The record is from RNAcentral. Lineage: Eukaryota; Metazoa; Chordata; Mammalia; Carnivora; Canidae.
CUCCCCUUUGUGCACAUACAGCUUCUUGGAGGUCCUCACAGUGGGCUGCUCUUUCCUGCUGAAACACCCCCUUCUUCUGCCUUCUGGGAGACCACUCUUUCGGGGUUCCCUUCUGAUCUUUUGGGUGCUCCUUCCCAGCUCCCGGUGCCGGCUCCUCCUCCUUCCGCCCUUGACCAAUGACAUAUCCCUGCUGGAUGACUCAGCGGCUUCUGGAGGGACUGAAAGAGUUAAGGACUCUGUGGAUGGUGCAAACGCAGGAGCUCAGCCCCAACACUGGCGAGAGACUGGAACCUGGGACGGUGGCAGUAGACGUACGACGAGAUUGCUUUGCUGGACUUUGUGGUAGCCAAGGCGGGUUGGGCCCACUCAGCAGAGAUGGAGGGAUUGGGACAGGAGUCAACAUCCUGUGCUCAGCCUGUUGCCCUUGUCAGUGAGGCAGGAAUGCACUUUAUUACAGUGAUGGUUUGGGCAACAAUUUCUAAGCUAAUGAAUCUGUUGGUCAGGUGAGCUCAGGUACAUCAUGGCUGAUGCACGUACAUGUAGGCUUUUUUUUUCCCCAAAGAUUUUAUUUAUUUGACAGAGAGAGAGAGAGCGGGCAUGAGCAGGGGAGUGGCAGGCAGAGGGAGAGGGAGAAGCAGGGUCACUGUUGAGCAGGGAACCCAACUAGGGCCUCGAUCCCAGGACCCCGCGAUCACGAUCUUAGCUGAAGGCAGCACGUGUAGGCCUUUUCAAGCGACAGUCUAGAGCUGCACAUCCAGUUUGGUAGCCACUAACCACUGCAGCCAAUUAAAUCUUUAAAAUUUUUAUUUUCAAUUCACAUACAACAAAUUCCCUACAUGCAGUAUUUUUCAUGCACGGUUCCUUGGCUUUGACAAUUGCAUAAAGUCAAGUAACCACCACCACCCUGAAGACCCAGAAGAGUUUGUUCACUUUAAAAUAUCCCCUUGAAAAAAAAAAAAUAAAAUAAAAUAUCCCCUUGGGUUGCUCCUUGGUGGUCAACCUUCUAUCAACCCCAAGUCCCUCACAACCAUCUGUUUUGUAUUUCUAUAAUUUCGCCUUUCAGGAUUUAAAUUAAUUAAAAUUAGACAAAAUAAAGGAUUCAGUUGGUCAGUUGCACCAGCCAUAUUUCAUGCGCUCAAUAGCGACAUGUGGCUGACGGCUACCGUUCUGGACGGCGCAGACAGAAAAUAUUCCCAUCAUUCCAGAAAAUUCUACUGGGCAGCACCAGUAGAGGUCCAUUUAUUCAGUGUUUCUAAAAUGUUUGGGGGUCGUAUUCCUUCUAUCAACCCUCUUCCUAGAAAAGGCUCACAAUACAGGCAUGCAGAAAAGAAAUCCAAUGCUGAGUUUCAGGGCAUCCGUCGAUGGCUCUAAGUCCCUUCCUAUGGGGCUGAGACUCCCAAAUGUCAUGUAAACUUGAAAGUCUAAAAGCAUUUUCCUCAAGCUGAGUUUUCUGCUUUGUGUCUUCAAGUUAGAAAUCAGACCAAAGCGUUGUCUCGUAAGCUUGCUGUUUUCUCUUUAAUAUGCAACGCUGACAGGCAAUUAUUCACGGAGAUUACUCCGUGCGCAGCGUUGGCCUGCUGCGCCGCCCGCUCGGUUGCAGGAAUGAGCUUUUGGAAAUCAUCGUUAUUAGUAAAUAUGAAUCGGGGUGUUUGAAAUGACUUAAUGGAAGUUUAGCUUCUCUCACAUUAAAUCUUCUUUGUUACAGGGUAAUGGUAAAGUAGUCUGGGCAUCAGCUUUGCACUGUCGAAAAAGGUAGCUUGUUCCUUAAAACAGUGUUCUGGGUAAUUCUCGCCCAGAUCAAUGUCAUUCCGAAAGCUACUGCCUUCCAUUUCACAAUUUAGGGGCGAUAAUUGUGUUGGCUUGACUGACACUGUCUUGGUCACAAUUUCUUUCUGAUGCUGCCUCCUGCUCAGCUCCCCAAAGACUUGGGAAAACCUUUCUUGCUUGCUCCCCAUCCGCCCUUUGCUUAUAAAAUGCCCCACGCAAAAUAAAUAAAUAAAUAAAUAAAUAAAUAAAUAAAUAAAUAAAUAAAAUAAAAAAAUAAAAAAUAAAUAAAAA